CCUGGCUCAGGAUGAACGCUAGCUACAGGCUUAACACAUGCAAGUCGAGGGGCAGCAUGGUCUUAGCUUGCUAAGGCCGAUGGCGACCGGCGCACGGGUGAGCAACACGUAUCCAACCUGCCGUCUACUCUUGGACAGCCUUCUGAAAGGAAGAUUAAUACAAGAUGGCAUCAUGAGUCCGCAUGUUCACAUGAUUAAAGGUAUUCCGGUAGACGAUGGGGAUGCGUUCCAUUAGAUAGUAGGCGGGGUAACGGCCCACCUAGUCUUCGAUGGAUAGGGGUUCUGAGAGGAAGGUCCCCCACAUUGGAACUGAGACACGGUCCAAACUCCUACGGGAGGCAGCAGUGAGGAAUAUUGGUCAAUGGGCGAGAGCCUGAACCAGCCAAGUAGCGUGAAGGAUGACUGCCCUAUGGGUUGUAAACUUCUUUUAUAAAGGAAUAAAGUCGGGUAUGGAUACCCGUUUGCAUGUACUUUAUGAAUAAGGAUCGGCUAACUCCGUGCCAGCAGCCGCGGUAAUACGGAGGAUCCGAGCGUUAUCCGGAUUUAUUGGGUUUAAAGGGAGCGUAGAUGGAUGUUUAAGUCAGUUGUGAAAGUUUGCGGCUCAACCGUAAAAUUGCAGUUGAUACUGGAUAUCUUGAGUGCAGUUGAGGCAGGCGGAAUUCGUGGUGUAGCGGUGAAAUGCUUAGAUAUCACGAAGAACUCCGAUUGCGAAGGCAGCCUGCUAAGCUGCAACUGACAUUGAGGCUCGAAAGUGUGGGUAUCAAACAGGAUUAGAUACCCUGGUAGUCCACACGGUAAACGAUGAAUACUCGCUGUUUGCGAUAUACUGCAAGCGGCCAAGCGAAAGCGUUAAGUAUUCCACCUGGGGAGUACGCCGGCAACGGUGAAACUCAAAGGAAUUGACGGGGGCCCGCACAAGCGGAGGAACAUGUGGUUUAAUUCGAUGAUACGCGAGGAACCUUACCCGGGCUUAAAUUGCAGAUGAAUUACGGUGAAAGCCGUAAGCCGCAAGGCAUCUGUGAAGGUGCUGCAUGGUUGUCGUCAGCUCGUGCCGUGAGGUGUCGGCUUAAGUGCCAUAACGAGCGCAACCCUUGUUGUCAGUUACUAACAGGUUCCGCUGAGGACUCUGACAAGACUGCCAUCGUAAGAUGUGAGGAAGGUGGGGAUGACGUCAAAUCAGCACGGCCCUUACGUCCGGGGCUACACACGUGUUACAAUGGGGGGUACAGAGGGCCGCUACCACGCGAGUGGAUGCCAAUCCCCAAAACCUCUCUCAGUUCGGACUGGAGUCUGCAACCCGACUCCACGAAGCUGGAUUCGCUAGUAAUCGCGCAUCAGCCACGGCGCGGUGAAUACGUUCCCGGGCCUUGCACACACCGCC
This 1381-nucleotide ribosomal RNA is filed under the name uncultured bacterium. Its description in RNAcentral is "bacterial SSU rRNA". It matches the Rfam family "Bacterial small subunit ribosomal RNA", at positions 18 to 1394 of the family's 1533-position model. The record is from RNAcentral.